ACCACAGUCUUCUUGUAUAUGGUA
This 24-nucleotide non-coding RNA is filed under the name Arabidopsis thaliana (thale cress). The record is from RNAcentral. Lineage: Eukaryota; Viridiplantae; Streptophyta; Magnoliopsida; Brassicales; Brassicaceae.